This 520-nucleotide unclassified non-coding RNA is filed under the name uncultured Glomus. RNAcentral describes it as "SSU rRNA". It matches the Rfam family "Eukaryotic small subunit ribosomal RNA", at positions 569 to 1091 of the family's 1831-position model. The record is from RNAcentral. Lineage: Eukaryota; Fungi; Glomeromycota; Glomeromycetes; Glomerales; Glomeraceae.
AGCAGCCGCGGUAAUUCCAGCUCCAAUAGCGUAUAUUAAAGUUGUUGCAGUUAAAAGCUCGUAGUUGAAUUUCGGGAUCAAAGAAUCGGUCAUGCCUUGGUAUGUACUGGUUUUAUUGGUUCUCACCUUCUAAAGAACCAUGAUGUCAUUCAUUUGAUGUUAUGGGGAAUUAGGACUGUUACCUUGAAAAAAUUAGAGUGUUUAAAGCAGGCUUACGCUUGAAUACAUUAGCAUGGAAUAAUGAAAUAGGACAUCAGAUUCUAUUUUGUUGGUUUCUAGGAUCGAUGUAAUGAUUAAUAGGGAUAGUUGGGGGCAUUAGUAUUCAAUUGUCAGAGGUGAAAUUCUUGGAUUUAUUGAAGACUAACUACUGCGAAAGCAUUUUGCCAAGGAUGUUUUCAUUAAUCAAGAACGAAAGUUAGGGGAUCGAAGACGAUCAGAUACCGUCGUAGUCUUAACCAUAAACUAUGCCGACUAGGGAUCGGAUGAUGUUAAUUUUAUAAUGACUCAUUCGGCACCUUAC